Molecule: ribosomal RNA, 406 nt
Filed under: uncultured bacterium
Lineage: Bacteria
Description: partial 16S ribosomal RNA
Rfam family: Bacterial small subunit ribosomal RNA
Source: RNAcentral
AUUGAACGCUGGCGGCAGGCCUAACACAUGCAAGUCGAGCGAGUGGCGGACGGGUGAGUAAUGUAUGGGGAUCUGCCUGAUGGCGGGGGAUAACUACUGGAAACGGUAGCUAAUACCGCAUACCAUCGGAUGUGCCCAUAUGGGAUUAGCUAGUGGGUGGGGUAACGGCUUACCUAGGCGACGAUCCCUAGCUGGUCUGAGAGGAUGACCAGACACACUGGGACUGAGACACGGCCCAGACGCCUACGGGAGGCAGCAGUGGGGAAUAGUGCACAAGGGGCGCAAGCCUGAUGCAGCCAGGCCGCGUGUAUGAAGAAGGCCUUCGGGUUGUAAAGUACUUUCAGUAGGGAGGCGUUACCGACAGAAGAAGCACCGGCUAACUCCGUGCCAGCAGCCGCGGUAAUUC